This is a long non-coding RNA of Dromaius novaehollandiae (emu), 1071 nucleotides long. RefSeq lists it as uncharacterized. The transcript has 4 exons. Lineage: Eukaryota; Metazoa; Chordata; Aves; Casuariiformes; Dromaiidae. The record is from RefSeq and is a predicted model, not a curated record.
ACCGAUAUACAGUAAGACUAAUUUUCUUUGAAAUUACAGAGUCAUCUGAUGAACAUUUGAUCCAAGUGAGCACAAUUUACAGGGAAAUUUAGAGUGGUAUAGGUUUGUGUUUGAACUCAUGUAUACAUACAUAUACAUUUGUAUGGGGAGAAAUAAUUUAAAAGUCAAGGUUUUAAAUCUUUCAUAGUCUUCUGAAUUGUAUUUAUUUUAUUUCAGCUACGCAAGCAGCGUGUCUUACACACAAUAUAAUGAAUGCUAUUUGCAUGAAAAGAUCCCCAACAGAUCAUUCCUCUCCUACUUAUAAUUGUGGCUGUUGGUAUGAAACGUAAAAUAGCAUACAGUAUAUUUUAUCUUGUAUUUUCAACUAAUAUAUGAAGAGUAAUCAGUUGGUGUAUUCUCCACAACAGAAGCGAAAACCGAGCCCUUAAAGAAAUCUUUCUUUCUCCUCCUUUGAUCGUAAACAGUGACUAGGACAUGAGUAGAAACUGAGGUUCCCUGGAAUGACAUGAUAACUGUGCAGCAGGUGGCAGUGAGACGUGCAUGUAGUCUGCAUCAUCUUAGAAAGGAUAAUCCCCUCUGCUUGUAUUUCCACAGCCUUUUUAUCCCAUCUUCAAAGCUUCAUAUUCAAGCUAAUGUCCUUCUGGGCAACGGUGUCUGGGUAGCUCUCUUUUUAAUCAGCCUGUCAGAGCCACUCUGUAAUCAGGCUGAGGCGUACUUAUUGAUCAGUUGAUCUUUCCUCACUUUCCAAAGCUUGCCACUCCUGCAGCCUUUUCACUAUGCGCAGAACCCUAUGCAGGCGUAAAAUAACUCAGUGAAUGCAUCUCAGCAUCUUUAGAUGAGGUUUGACUAGAACAAGAAGAUAUCAUAUAUGACUACUCUAACCAAGCUCAAAUGAGAAGCAGAGACAUGUUCCGAUUCCUGCAAUAAUCAAGAAAGUUUAUUUCCUAGAGGGGGAUGCUCUUUAUUGAGCUUUGUUCCAGUCUAGUAGCCUAUGGCAAUAAGCUGGAGAGUGAGACUGAGGCUGAUGAAAUGCAGAGGACAGAAUGAAAAUGCAUGAAAAAUUCUGAUGAC